CAUUUAACUUAUUUCCACGAGCAAAUUCCCAUGAAGACUGAACCUCACAGGGGUUCUGCAUUUGGUGGGUACCCUUCUUUGGUGGAGAGGAAUGCUUCGUUUGACAUAAAAGAGCCAAUGACUCUGCACUUGUCAUGUUGACAGUCACUUGUCUUAUUUUUGUUGGCAAUGUCUUUGUAAUGAACCCAUAUUGUAUUGAAAUGGAUAAUUGGAAUUACACCUACAAUUAUAAGAGUUCAUCAUUCUAAUUGCUCCAAACUAGUAACAAAUCCUUCAAAAGAAAAAAGUAGAAAUAAAAAGGAAGAAUGGAGGGAGGUUCCAAAUUAAUCUAAGCAACUAAGAAAUAAGAGACAAGUUCAUAGCAUAAUCCUAAUUGAGUAUUUUCCUCUUCUAUAUAUAAGAAUCUUCCCAGGGUCCCAAAUGUAAUUUGAUAUCUUCUCACGUAGGUCCUCCAGCUAAGUUAUAUUGUUCGUUUGACAUAAAAGAGUCUGAAUGUUGGCAAAAUUAAAUCAAGUGAGUGAGUUUUAAACUUUGAAUUAACGAAGAAUAAAUUCAAAUAAAGCUCUCCAUCACUUAAAAUUCUUCUUGAUUUCUUGACUUACUCUCGGGUGGUCUAUGUGUAAUAUAAGCCCCCACUUGCUGUAAGACUGGAGUACUAGAGAUGUCAAAUUGUCCAAGACUAGAUUAAUCUACAUUACUAGCAAAGAAAUUAGAAAAUGAUGACAAAACCAAGUCAAGUAUCCUGACACAAAUAUUUUCCAAAAAAUAACUUUCAUCUGAACAACAUUUCCAAGCAUGUUUAUCGGUCUGCAAUCAAGUUUGAGCUGUAAGCUACUAUUGGGGUUUCCAUUGUCAGAGUCACUGAAGUUAAAACGCUUAUGUUUAUCAUUGCUUUAUCAUCUAGUUCAAGGUAUCCCUCAAUUUUCAUUUUUUUUAUUCAGUUGUUGGGUCAUGACCAGGUGACUACUAGAAAGUGUUGAUAAUCUCAAGAAGAGAAGUAAUGCUUCUUGUUAAAAUCCAAGAGAAUGCCCAUGGGAAAUAACGUUUAUAUGAGCCUAGCUAUUUCAACUUAUCCUUGCCCUUUGCAUUAUCUUUUCGUUUCGGGAAGACAUCCGACUGCACCAUGGGGCCUCUCUUGAAUGAUAUGGAAGUAAAAAAAUAUGUGAAGAGAACUGAUGGCUUUUUAGACAGUAUAACUAUGUCUUUCUUUGAACAUUAUUAUUAUAUGGUUCGUCACUUCGUUGAAAUGAUUAUCUGCAGAUUAUUUCAUUAGAAUGUUUUUUCUGUUAUAAUGAGCACCUUUGUUUGUUAAUUUCAAAAUAGUUAGGUCCAUUAUCUUUUUUUAUGUGUUGCAGGACCAGUUAUUUCCAGUUUAGUGUCGCACUACUUUUCUACCAAUUGGAUAAAUGAAGGUGGUGUGACCCAUGCUUACCGAUCCCAGUUUAGUCUCAUACUACUCUUUUUCGAGCCAGGGCAAGUGAAAGUAACUAAAAUUACAUGUUGAGUUUAUAUAUAGUUAGUUCUUUGAUUGAAGAAAUGAAGAGCAGGCAGGAGGAUAACAUCACAAUUGUAGACACGUAAUUUUUUAUCAAACUUAAGUUUUACAUCAUUUUUAGAGCUUAAAUAUUUUUAUAAAAAUCUAAAUUAAAUAUUUUGACUUUUACCUUAUUUUAUUAACUUUAUUUUAAAGGAUUUGAAAACAACAAAAACAUAAUCAUAUUUUUUGGUAGGUUUUAUUUUAUUUUAUUUUUAUGUUAUUAUUAUUAUUUUUUUCUUCUUCUUUUCUUUUUAUUUUUUCAUUUUUAAAAAAAAAAAGAAAUGAAAAUUUAUAAAAGGAUUAUAUGUUUUAUUUUAAUUUAGUUUAAUAAAUAAGCAAUAUUUUUUUUACUAUUAGCUGCUUAACUUUUUUAGUUUAAAAAGUAUAUUAUAUUAAGACUGGCGGUAAUCCGCGCGGUCAACUUCAAUCUAGUUUAUUAGCAUCCGAAUUCAAGGAAUAAAUUCAAAUCGAAAUAUAUACAAUUUUUUAUAUAGUUUUAUGACUGUAUGGAAGGAUCUAUCCUUUUACUUGAGCAAGGGAUCUGUCAAGAUUUAAUACAUAUUUUUAUUGAGCCAUGUGUCUAGCAGUUCUAAUCGGGUAUAGGCGCCCUUUUCAACUCCUUAACGGGCUUAGAGCCACGGCUGGCUAGACGAAGUCACAAAGACAAAGCCAAUAAAAAUAAUAUCGAAUCUGACUGUAUCACCAUCUUAGAACCAAGUCAAGAAACCAUAUAUAAGUUUAUUUAUAUUUUGAUGAAGUCUAGAUCUUUCAUGGUAAAUAUAAAAGAGAAGCUAGUUAUCCGACAUAGAUAUGAAUCUUUAGCCAGACAUAGUCACAACUCAGAUCGGAGGAAUACUAAAAGAUGUAAUCAGAAAUAAUAUAAUACCUUAUAACGAUGGCCAACUCCAAGGCCUAUGAUUGAACUAUACAAGUUGUAUUUACUUUUGGCCAAUAUCCGGUAAACUGAGAGCUUUACAAGAGAGAUUUACAGUUGGAGAGAGAAAGUAGAGAGAUGUG
This 2554-nucleotide long non-coding RNA is filed under the name Solanum tuberosum (potato). Its description in RNAcentral is "long non-coding RNA (STUB_LNC001999)". Lineage: Eukaryota; Viridiplantae; Streptophyta; Magnoliopsida; Solanales; Solanaceae. The record is from RNAcentral.